UAGCCUAGUGGUUAGGCUAUGGAUCGCCAAUCCGGAGACGGCGGGUUCGAUUCCCGU
This is a non-coding RNA of Aedes albopictus (Asian tiger mosquito), 57 nucleotides long. NCBI's taxonomy places the organism in Eukaryota, Metazoa, Arthropoda, Insecta, Diptera, Culicidae. The record is from Rfam.